Long non-coding RNA from Monodelphis domestica (gray short-tailed opossum), 1059 nucleotides. RefSeq lists it as uncharacterized. The record is from RefSeq and is a predicted model, not a curated record. Lineage: Eukaryota; Metazoa; Chordata; Mammalia; Didelphimorphia; Didelphidae.
AAUAGUCUUAUGGGAAAUGUAGUCCAUCUGGUCAUAGGCUUAGAGCUGGGAGGAGCUGGAAAGCCUAAUGCAUUUUUAUCUUUUGAAAUAAAUGUUUCAAUUUUAUUUUGCCUCUUAGGAGAUGUAGUCCACCUGGCCAUAGGAUUUAGGGCUGGAAGGACUUCAGAAGUCUAAUGCAUUUUUAACUUUCGAAAAAACUUUUACUUAAGUUUAAAAAAAUUAUUUCAAAAAUAUUUCUUGAAAAAUAAAUUGUAUUUCGUUUUUCCAUCGCCAACAUUUACCAGAAUAUUUUUCCCUUCUUCUUGUCCCCAAGAGCCAUCCCUUAAUAUGAACAAACACUAAAGCAAAACCAGUUCCCUCUGUAAGAGUUGUGCAUCCAUAGGCCUACCUCUUCUAAGACGAGAAAAUAACUCCCACGUUUUAAAGAAAGGGAGAAGAGUCUCAGCUUUUUUGGUCAAGUAUCCCUUAUAUCCACUUUAUAGAUGAAGAAAUUGAGCCAGAGAGGUGAACAGCCUGCCUAGUAUAACACAGAGCUUUUAGAGAUCUUCAUAAUAAAAGGACAAGAUCAGCAAGAUGAUGAAGUAGUUGUUUUCAAUAUUCCACUUUAACCUGACAACUUCAAAAGGAAGGAAAUACACACCAAAUCUAGCAUAAUUAAAGCGGAAUCUGAAAGGUUCAGGAUAACCCUAUCAUUGGAGAGGUCCUCCCAGAUCCCCCAAUAUUUAAGGAUGCCACCAAGGGAAUUCUCAUCAUUCCCUACCCAGAUACUUUCUUGAACUUCUUAUCAUCUCAAGAAACUCAUCAUUCUACAAGAUUAACUAGGAUUAACUCUUUCCCUUAAUUUCCUACCCAAGCUGCAUGACUUCAUCACAUACUUUGACUGGGUAAAGAGGGAGAAUCCUUUCUCUUUUCAACUUUUUAUGUGUUGUCUUCCCCAUUAACCUGUGAGCUCCUGGAGGACUGAGGCUGUCAUGCCUUUCUUUGUUACCUCCCUUCCCCUUAAAACAUAGUGACUAGCACAUAGGAGACAUUUAAUAAAUGUUUAUUAACUCUUGUUAA